RNAcentral lists this non-coding RNA (21 nucleotides) under Mus musculus (house mouse). Lineage: Eukaryota; Metazoa; Chordata; Mammalia; Rodentia; Muridae. The record is from RNAcentral.
UCAAAUGAACACCUGCUGAUG